Molecule: ribosomal RNA, 253 nt
Filed under: uncultured bacterium
Lineage: Bacteria
Description: partial 16S ribosomal RNA
Rfam family: Bacterial small subunit ribosomal RNA
Source: RNAcentral
GACGAACCGAGCGAACGUUGUUCGGAAUCACUGGGCAUAAAGGGCGCGUAGGCGGGCCGUCAAGUCAGGGGUGAAAUCCUCCAGCUUAACUGGAGAACUGCCUUUGAUACUGACGGCCUCGAGUGAGGUAGGGGCGUGCGGAACUGAUGGUGGAGCGGUGAAAUGUGAUGAUAUCAUCAGGAACUCCGGUGGCGAAAGCGGCACGCUGGACCUUUACUGACGCUGAGGCGCGAAAGCCAGGGGAGCGAACGGG